CUCUGCUGGGCCGGGUUUAACAAGUCCAUCACAGCUCCCAGGCCGGCACUCUGCCCCAGUGGUCUCUGCUGGGCCGGGUUUAACAAGUCCAUCACAGCUCCCAGGCCGGCACUCUGCCCCAGUGGUCUCUGCUGGGCCGGGUUUAACAAUCCAUCACAGCUCCCAGGCCGGCACUCUGCCCCAGUGGUCUCUGCUGGGCCGGGUUUAACAAGUCCAUCACAGCUCCCAGGCCGGCACUCUGCCCCAGUGGUCUCUGCUGGGCCGGGUUUAACAAUCCAUCACAGCUCCCAGGCCAGCACUCUGCCCCAGUGGUCUCUGCUGGGCUGGGUUUAACAAGUCCAUCACAGCUCCCAGGCCAGCACUCUGCCCCAGUGGUCUCUGCUGGGCCGGGUUUCUUGUGGAGCGCAGGGAAACUUGACAAACCCUCACACAGCGUCCCCUUGAUAAUCCUGCUGAUGGUCUGUUGUGGCGGCCCGAGUCACCUCUGCUGCACUGUGCCGGGGCAAGGUGGCUCGGGGCAGGCGGCACUGUUCACUGUGGUUUUGGCUGCUGCACUGUGCCGGGGCAAGGUGGCUCGGGGCAGACGGCACUGUUCACUGUGGUGUUGGCUGCUGCACUGUGCCGGGGCAAGAUGGCUUGGGGCAGGCGGCACUGUUCACUGUGCUUGUUGGC
This is a long non-coding RNA of Eriocheir sinensis (Chinese mitten crab), 672 nucleotides long. RefSeq lists it as uncharacterized. The transcript has 3 exons. The record is from RefSeq and is a predicted model, not a curated record. NCBI's taxonomy places the organism in Eukaryota, Metazoa, Arthropoda, Malacostraca, Decapoda, Varunidae.